GCCGGGGUGGUGGAAUUGGCAGACACAUACGUUUGAGGGGCGUAGACCGAAAGGUGUGCGGGUUCAACUCCCGCCCCCGGCA
Molecule: transfer RNA, 82 nt
Filed under: Pseudomonadota bacterium
Lineage: Bacteria; Pseudomonadati; Pseudomonadota
Also listed under: 1 other name
Description: tRNA-Leu
Rfam family: tRNA
About the family: Transfer RNA (tRNA) molecules are approximately 80 nucleotides in length. Their secondary structure includes four short double-helical elements and three loops (D, anti-codon, and T loops).
Source: RNAcentral